AACCAUUCUCACCUGCGGCUAGACCUGCGGAGGGAUCAUUACCGAGUUUACAACUCCCAAACCCCUGUGAACAUACCAAUUGUUGCCUCGGCGGAUCAGCCCGCUCCCGGUAAAACGGGGCGGCCCGCCAGAGGACUCCUAAACUCUGUUUCUAUAUGUAACUUCUGAGUAAAACCAUAAAUAAAUCAAAACUUUCAACAAUGGAUCU
This 208-nucleotide unclassified non-coding RNA is filed under the name soil metagenome. Its description in RNAcentral is "partial contains 5.8S ribosomal RNA, internal transcribed spacer 2, and large subunit ribosomal RNA". The record is from RNAcentral.